AAGUCGUAACAAGGUUUCCGUAGGUGAACCUGCGGAAGGAUCAUUAACACGUUUCUAAACGUUUAUCAACCAACUCUAACUGUAUUUCCCUAGUUAAUGAAGUAUCGUCAUUUUGUUAGUAUUCAGGUUUUGGUGAGGUCGCACCCCAGUUGGCAACGACAGGGGCAGUGGACAUGCCUGGAGAAAGCAAGUCUUAUUGGCAACGAUAAGACGGGCGAUGAAUUAUUAAUUAGGCUCAACUUCUCACCUACUUUCAACCACCUUGGAAGGAAGUGAGAAACCCAUACCUUAUUCACCCUAUUUUACCUAUUUGACUAAUACUUAUUCCUUGGAGAAAUCCUCUGGAAUUACUAAGAUUUAAUCUUAACUAAGCACAACUCUUAGCAAUGGAUAUCUUGGUUCUC
This 404-nucleotide unclassified non-coding RNA is filed under the name fungal sp. Its description in RNAcentral is "partial internal transcribed spacer region". The stretch from base 1 to 46 matches the Rfam family "Eukaryotic small subunit ribosomal RNA", at positions 1786 to 1831 of the family's 1831-position model. The record is from RNAcentral. Lineage: Eukaryota; Fungi.